AAGCCCACUUUUCCUUUCUCACCAGAUUUGGGUUCACGUCGUCACCCCGCCAGAUAUGGGUUCACCUAUGUUUCCCUUUUAACGUUAUAGAUCUGGUUCCUUUUGUGGGCGGUAGAAAGAGAGGAGAUAGGUUUUGCAUGCCUCCCUUUUUCACUUUCAGCUGCCUCCUUUUUUCCUUUUUAAAGCUGCUCAUUUUUCUUCU
RNAcentral lists this long non-coding RNA (202 nucleotides) under Carica papaya (papaya). RNAcentral describes it as "long non-coding RNA (CPAP_LNC004768)". Lineage: Eukaryota; Viridiplantae; Streptophyta; Magnoliopsida; Brassicales; Caricaceae. The record is from RNAcentral.